This is a long non-coding RNA of Daucus carota subsp. sativus, 2188 nucleotides long. RefSeq lists it as uncharacterized. The transcript is spliced from 8 exons. Lineage: Eukaryota; Viridiplantae; Streptophyta; Magnoliopsida; Apiales; Apiaceae. The record is from RefSeq and is a predicted model, not a curated record.
AUGGCCCAUUCAGUCUCAAAAAAAUAAUUGUUGUUUGGUUGGGCCAAAGGAAUGGAAUGGACCAUUCUUUGUGUCAUUCCUUUCAGAAGCUUUGUUUUACGAUCUAUUCUCUCUGAAAAAGGUGGGAUAAGCCCAUUCCAUUCUGUCUGACUCAAACACAAGACAAAAAACACGUCCUCACUAAAUUCACACUCUCGCAAUCUCGCUGUUUCAUUUCUCCUGCUCAACUGAUCUCAAGCUUCGAUCCAUGCAUAUCAAUGAUUCCUUUUACCAUUUGCAACUAUUUUCAACCUCAAUCGAUAUAAGCAUACAGAGAAACCUGAGCCUGUUGAGGAAAAGGCUGCUGAAGGUGGUUCUGUUAAUAGAGGUACCUUUAUUUCGAUGGAAAAAACACAUCCCUUGCUGCUAUUAGUAUUGUCAUUGUGAGAGCAAUCACCAUUCAAGUCACUAUCUUCUAUCAUAUCCAGAUAGAGAGAUAACUAGACCUGCUCCAAGAUCCACCACUGGAAGAUGAUGUCUGUUUAACUCUACAUUAUGGAAUAAUGCCUGCACGUGUUGCGGUUCUCCGGUGUUCUCAUAUUCACUUCCCAAAUUUUGUAUUUUAUUUGUAAAUUAUGAUGGAGAAUUGAUAGUGGCCAAAGUUUGGAUUUUAUUUGUAAAUUUGUAAUAUUUAUUAUAGUUGAUUUUAUACUAAUAAUUUGUGUAAUGAAAUGGGAAGUAUGCUAUUGAUAUGAAAUUAAUUAAUUUGUGUAUGUAAUAUAUAAAUUCUGAAAGUUAAAGUUUUACAUGGAAAUAUUUGCUAAAAAAAAAAUUUAAUUACCAUUCCAUUCCUUUGAGUAACCAAACAACUCAAAUGAAUGGAAUUGUUCAUUCCAUUCCAACCAUAAAAAAAUGAACCAAACAAGAACCUUGAAUCGAUCAUUCCAUUCAAACUUGUUUCCAUUCUCCCACCAUUCCAUUCUCAAUUUCAUUCCAUUCCUAGCAAAUUUCAUUCAUCCCAACCAAACGGAGUGUAAGGGUUCUAACACUCUGUUUGGUUGGCAUGAAUGGAAUCAGUUUAGCCCAGAAUGGAAUGGUCCAUUCCAUUCCAAAAAUAAAAAUUUCUGUUUGGUUCGCCCAAAGAAUGGAAUCAGUUUAGCCCAGAAUGGAAUGUGCCAUUCCAUUCCAAAAAUAAAAUUUUCUGUUUGGUUCGCCCAAAGAAAACCGAUUCUUUUAUUCAUUCCAAUCAUUUCUUAAAGCGCGGGUUAAGCCCAUUCCAUUCACGCAGCUCUCCACCUCUCUCACGCAGCUCUCCCUCGCCUCUCUCUCCGCCUCUCGCCUCUCUCUCUCGCCUCUCUUUCUCGCAUCUCUCUCUUCCUCACAUCUCUCUCUUCCUUUUCUGCCUCUCCCCCUCUCUACACUCAGCUAAUCCUUAAUCUGGAAAGCAGCUAGAAUCUUCAAACCACGCAUCUCAACGAUUCCUUUUAUCAUUUGCAAUGAUUUUCAAACCUAAAUCAAUCUAAGCAUACAGAGCAAGUGCUAGAACAGAGCAAAAUGAAGACAAGAAUGAACCAAAUUUGAGGCCUAAGAGAGGGAGAGAGGUGAGAUGUAGAAUUUUGUUAGCUGUGAAAGAAAGUGACAGAGAAGAGAGACAGGGAAGUAGAGUGUAUCCGUCUAUGCGGUUGGUCAAAUAAAUUGGAGUUGUGUUAAAGAAUAUAAGCACCAUUACAGCUUGGCCUUGGCUGCUUAGCUGUUCCAUUUUAACAGCAGAGCUGCUUAGCUAGAGCCUAGAAGCUGGUUCAUCAAAGUGUAAAGCUCUUUCAAGUACCUUUAUUUCGAUGGAAAAAACACAUCCCUUGCUGCUAUUAGUAUUGUCAUUGUGAGAGCAAUCACCAUUCAAGUCACUAUCUUCUAUCAUAUCCAGAUAGAGAGAUAACUAGACCUGCUCCAAGAUCCACCACUGGAAGAUGAUGUCUGUUUAACUCUACAUUAUGGAAUAAUGCCUGCACGUGUUGCGGUUCUCCAGUGUUCUCAUAUUCACUUCCCAAAUUUUGUAUAUUAUUUGUAAGUUAUGAAGGAGAAUUGAUAGUGGCCAAAGUUUGGAUUUUAUUUGUAAAUUUGUAAUAUUUAUUAUAGUUGAUUUUAUGCUAAUAAUUUGUGUAAUGAAAUGGGAAGUAUGCUAUUGAUAUGAAAUUAAUUAAUUUGUGUA